Molecule: ribosomal RNA, 519 nt
Filed under: uncultured bacterium
Lineage: Bacteria
Description: partial 16S ribosomal RNA
Rfam family: Bacterial small subunit ribosomal RNA
Source: RNAcentral
GACGAACGCUGGCGGCGUGCCUAAUACAUGCAAGUCGAGCGAGCUUGCCUAGAUGAUUUUAGUGCUUGCACUAAAUGAAACUAGAUACAAGCGAGCGGCGGACGGGUGAGUAACACGUGGGUAACCUGCCCAAGAGACUGGGAUAACACCUGGAAACAGAUGCUAAUACCGGAUAACAACACUAGACGCAUGUCUAGAGUUUGAAAGAUGGUUCUGCUAUCACUCUUGGAUGGACCUGCGGUGCAUUAGCUAGUUGGUAAGGUAACGGCUUACCAAGGCAAUGAUGCAUAGCCGAGUUGAGAGACUGAUCGGCCACAUUGGGACUGAGACACGGCCCAAACUCCUACGGGAGGCAGCAGUAGGGAAUCUUCCACAAUGGGCGAAAGUCUGAUGGAGCAACGCCGCGUGAGUGAAGAAGGGUUUCGGCUCGUAAAGCUCUGUUGGUAGUGAAGAAAGAUAGAGGUAGUAACUGGCCUUUAUUUGACGGUAAUUACUUAGAAAGUCACGGCUAACUACGUG